AGUCACAAGCCGCUCCGGCGAGUGGACGGUGCCUGGGCGGCCGCCCCGCGGGCAAAGGUCUCGGGACCCGGUCUGUCAGACCUCGGACGUGGAAACUGGCAUCUCCCCUGGCUCGGAGUCCGCCCUCUCGGGGCGCCAGCGCAGUUGAUCGAUGUGCCUGAGGUGGCCUCUCUGAUUCCACAGCUGUCCCCGUGAGCAGGCGGCUCCAUGCUUCAAAGGCCCUGGAUUCCUGGGACAUGAUGCCACCUUUCCUGAAGUCUGGGCUCCUUACCUUCUCUCUGCUCCGGGCAUACCAUUCCCAAAGGACAGUGGUACUGCAGGGAGCAUCUGCUGGGCCCCCUCCAUGUGUUCUGGACAGGCUGGGGUCCUGGGAAGGGUGCACCACCCAAGUGCGGGGGUGGCAUUCAAGCUCAACACAGAACCUGUGAGAAUGGGCCUGACUGUGCUGGCUGCAGUGUGUUGGUUGAAACCGAGGAUGCAGAACAUGUGGACAUGGAGGCCUGUCUAAUUAUCAUCAGUCAGCCACCAUAGGCAACGGGCACGAGUCACACGACACAACAGAAAACAGUUUAAGAAAAUGCUACCCCAGAGCAGGUUUCUCUUGUCCUUGGAAACAGCCUGGCAUGAAGAGCAGUCUUUGCUUCCUCCACUUAAUUUGCCUCAGCCGAGCCUGCAGUCAGCAUCUCUCACCGGGCCCACCUCAGCUCCAGGGGCCAUUCGAGGGACCAGCUGGAGUUUUCUGGUGUUUCCUGGAUUUAUCACUAAAAGACCUGCAUCCUGGGAAAGCACUUUCUCAGUCCCCUGAAGAGUAGAGAUGGACAUUCACCCAAAGGAAGGCUUGUUUCUCAGAGGAAGACCAAAACCUUAUUACCAGACCAAGGCAGGAUGAAAAGUGGGCUGGACAAAAACAAUUAAGCCUCAUGGCGUAGCCCUCUUAGGAGCAGAUGGUGGUGUGUCAUCUUCUAAACUCUACUGUCACUUGGGGGAACUGGCAGAGGAGGAGCCUGGUGUGUGGACCUGGUUUGCCACUUUGUCUAGGAGGCCCCAGAGCCCUGUGUGUUACGGGGGCUGUUAAUUACUCAGGGAGGUUAUCACACGGUCCCUUCUCUGCAUUGGACAGAAAUACAUCUCCCUGUGAUGACAGAGACACAGCGGUUCUUUUUACUCUGCUCUUUCCUUGGGUCCUCCACUCCGAGUGUCCCUGAUUCCUGCGCAGUGUCCUUCCAAAGCCUGGGUUUGGAGGACAGGACCUAUGUGUCCCAUAUCAGCUGCCGUCUGUUGCUAACAAACUGAGGUUACACCAGCUCUAACUGAGCAUUCAUUUAUUUAAUAACAGGCACAGAAAAGCCUCUGGAGUUGCCAGCAUGGUAGAAACCUAGACCAGGCCUCUGAGGGCGUGUAAACAAGUACCCAGGUCGUGAGACCAAUUUCUGCUGAAAUCAGUUAAUUUUGCUGGGUUCCUUGGCUGCGGCCUCACCUCCCACCUCCUGCAAACCUCGCUCCAGUGAGUGUCCAGGCGUCCAGAGGAAGGAGUUUCCAUGGGUCACUGAAAAUCUGCCACCACUCCUGCGAACUCGGUAGACCACUGUCGUUCUCCUUCGUUCAGUCGGUGAACGUGGCGUGUUCCAUACAUAUGUUGCAUCAUUAAAUGUCAUUUCUGAGCGAGGAUUAAAAUUACCAAGUGACUUAGACUUAAUGAUAUAUUAACUGCACAGCUCAUCAGAAUCCUUUCGUACUGCGAUCUCCCAUUUUAUCAAAAAAUUCAUGCUUGAUCAUGCACCAGAGUAGUCAAAAGGUGGGCUUCUGGAAACUUGCAUCGGCUAAAGCCAGAUAUGAUUUCUGUCCCAUGAAACUUGUGUUAAUGAUGUCAUCAGAGGGAAAAAGAAGCCUCACUCGAAAAUUAACUUACACUUCUACUCUGAGGAGGUGGUUUGGGAACAGAGGAGCUAGGACCUUCUUUUUGAGGCUUAAGGGAAUUUACUCACGUUUGCUUAAGUAUGGCACGGUUUUUGUUUAUUUGUUUGGUUAGCUGGUUUGGUUUCCAGGUUUGGUUUUGGUUAGCCUAACCCCGUUGCUUCAAAAUUACUGAAAAAAAAACUGAUCUUUAUAGUUUAUGAUAACAUUAUACUCUGAAUCCUAAAGCCUUCCCCAUCUCAUUUCAGAGAUGUUCCAACCGAAAUUACUCUUUCAUUUCAUGAAUCAACAAAAUAAGUCCAAUAUUACGAUGAUCACCAAUCAAAACACACCUUGGGGAUAUCCUCUUGCAUCUGGAAUUGGCACAAUGCUGAUUGGUUGUAUAACUGUCCCCACCUCGUCUUGGGAAAUUCGAUGAUAUUUUACCUCUGCCACUCCUAAGAAACCAAGACAGGCGUGCCAGGCUUCUCUCUACCUGAAUGCACAGAUAGAAAGAGGGUUUGGUGAAGAGCUGGAACGUGGAUGACAUAUGCUAUGUUUUCUUUGCACGUCCAUGGAUAAAAGUUAUGACGUAAAGGUACACCCUCAACAAUUGGCCAGUACAUUUCCUGUGGGCCAUGUAGGUGUUUGGUACAUUACUGGAUGCAAAGGUGGUAUGACAAAAAGUACGAGACACACUGCUUAAGAGCUGUCAUCACUCGGCGGUCUGUGGAUCACCCACCCAGCUCUGGGUUGUUUCUGGAGGUGCAGAAGAUACAUAAAUGUGGCUGCUUUCCUGAAGAAACAUGUACACUAUUUGGAGGUCUCAGCAGAGCUCGACUGGAUAGUAGGUGCGGCCUCUAAAAGCCAAGGUCUUCAUCACCUGCAGAAUGGUAGCCUCAGAAUAACAUUUGAGUUGUAAAUCUCUUCUGAGGGCUAAAGCGUAUUUCAUAAAAAUGAAGAUUUAUGGAGUUUCUGGAUGGUGCAGUGGGUUAAGAAUCUGACUGCAGUGGCUCAGGUCGCUGAGGAGGCUCAGGUUCAAUCCCCAGCCCAGUGCCGUGGGUUAAAGGGUCUGGUGUGGGUUGCAGCUGCCGCUCAGAUUCAAUCUCUGGUCAGGGAACUUCCAUCUGCCGUGAGUGCAGCCAUUAAAUUAAAUUUUUUUAAAAAGAUAGAGAUUUAUAGUGAUAAAAGCUAGCAGGAGAGUCUUAUGCAAACUAAAAUUUUCAGCUCUUAUAUUCAUGGAAGAACCACGUCUGUAGGCUAACAAAUUAAGAGUGAGAAUGCUAAAUCAUUACUUCCCCUUACGCUGCUUUGAAAUCUCCUAUGAGUCCCCAAAGGGAGAAAUGGUUUGUGUGCUUUACUGCUGUGUGUCUGUUCUCGAGUCUGUAUUUCUUGAUGGUAAUUUGUGUCUGCGUGUGUGAGAAUGCUUAAAAUAUGGUCUCUGCAACUUUCAAGUACGCAUAUAACACGGAUAUUGUGUUAUUAACGGUAGUCCCCAUGCUGAACGUUAGGUCCUCUGACCUUAUUCUUAUGUCUGAAAAUGUGUAUCAUUUGACCUCCAUUACUUCAUUUUCUCCUCCUCCCAGCCACUGGUAACCACCAUUCUGUUAUUCUAUUCUCUGUUUCUAUGAAAUCAGCUUUUUUAAAAGUUCCACACGUAGAUAAUAAUAUGAGAUAAUAUUUAUCUUUGUCUGGCUUAUUUCACUUAGCAUCAUGCCAUCCAGGUUCAUCACAAAUGGCAGGAUUUCCUCCCUUUUUCUGGCUGCAUAAUAUUCCAUCAUGUUCCAUUUUCUUUAUGUCUUCAUCCAUUCAUGGACAUUUAAGUUGUUCCUGAACCUUGGCUACUAGGCAUAAUGCUGCAGUGAACAUGGGAGUGUAGCUAUCUCUUCAAGAUACUGAUUUAGGUUCUUUUGGAUAUAUGCUAGAAGUGAAAUUGCUGGUAGUUCUAUUUUAAAUUUUUUGGGGGAUGGCCAUUCUGUUUUCCACAGUGGCCGCACUGAUUUACAUUCUCACCAACAGUUUAUAAGGAUUCCCUUUUCUCCACAUCCUCGCCAACAUAUUUUAUCUCUUUUCCCUUUGAUAAUAGCUUGAUGAUAAUUGUUCUCGAGUCUUGUACAGAGCUUUGUGGAACUGCAUCUCUUUCUUUCAGAUAAAUGAGUGUUUGAUCUCAGGAAAUCUUCCAUUGCCACUGGUAAAUCUGAGCUGUCUCCAUUUUAAAUUGAGUUAAAAGCAAAAGUACCGCCUACCCUCCGAAGCUUUUCUUUAAUUCCUAGUAUCAGUGUGUUUAAUUGGAAAGAGAUUUUAAAGACCAAUAGUGUAAGGCUUAAGAGAUUCUGGCACCUUUGGGGAUUGUUUUAAAAUUAUUGCAUGAAUUCUUUUUUAUUUUUUUUCCCACUGGGGGUUAGGCCUGACAGGCCACGAAUGGAUCUGUCAUUCUCCCAUAUACUCUCAGUAUUUAUUAUUAUCAUCUGCCUCAGGGGCUUGUAGAUUAAUCAAAAAUAUCCUUAAGUUAUCUUACAAGUAAAAGGAAAUUAACCAGCUUUCCCACCUCAUUUUAUGCUAAUAUAUUAAAUUAUGAGCUCUGAAGAAAUUAACAAGGACCUGAGAUCAAUGACUGUCUCUUCCUCUGAGUAAAUUAAAAUAGAAUAAGUACAAAUAUUCUGUAAUCAUCAGGUAUUAAACUCCUUUCCUCUUUUUUCCCCCUUUUAACAUAACUCAGGCUGUAAAACCUAAAUAAAAUCUUACAUCUAGUUCAAACCCCUUCCUUUGGAAAAGAAAAGCAUGAGGUCUGUGUGUGUGUGUGUGUGUGUGUGUGUGUGUCUACGUGUGUGUGUCUGCAUGUGUGUAAACCAUAUGUACAUACUUAUAGAAACACAUUGUGUAUAUAUGUAUGUACACACGGUGUACAUAACAUAUACACAAUGAGUGUAUGUAAACCGAGAGUAUCAUUCCUUCCUAAAUAAUCCUACAUUUAUUUGGGGUGACACAUGAUAAAAUGUAUAGUGAAAUCUGGAAGGUGAUUUCAUGACUUCCUAAAGACUAACAGGAGAAUUGUUAUAAAAUUUCUAUGAGAAAAAAAUAAUACUUUCACAUCUCUAAUGAAACACACCCUUUUAAAAAGUGAAGAGUGUUUAACAUGAAAUAGCAUCAACUCUGUGAUGCCAUUAUCCUCUCAGAACCCAUCAAGUCAUACACAAAAUCCUAAUGAAUUUAUCGACAGCUCAUCCAUCCAGAGUUCCGACUUGAGUUGAGGCAGGUGUCAAGAUGCACUUGCCAAACAGGGUGAUAACACCGCCCCCACAGUUUCAUCGCAAAGCACCAUCUGCUCCAAGCACAUGGACUGUCAAAUCCUGGCUUGUGCCCCCUGGCAUUUGGUGACGGUGGCACUGACAUGCAGUGACUUUGGAGGAUGCGUUCACAUUCUCAGUUCUUCAAACCCUGCCUAGGUCACAGCAGCAAUCUGUCAACGGAGGCGGUUGGAAGAGGCAGGAGGCAAUGUAUUCUGUUUGUCUGGUCCCCACUCUGAACAUGACUAGUUUUUAUGCCAGUCACCAUGUCUAAAAUGUCUUCAAAGAGCACCUGUGAUCAUGCUCUCUCUCAAACCCGGUCACUGAGAUGUUCUAAGUCAACGGUUUCCACGUGACACCAAGAGACACAAAGCCUUAACCGUGUUAGAGAUUUCGUGAAGCUCUGGUCAGGAAGGGAAUGGCAUUGGGGCCACCUGACCUUCACGUGAAGACACGCUAUCACAUUUCUGUAACAAAGGGUGCUGGGGGGGCUGGCGGUGAAAUGCUGUCUCAACUCAGUUUUGAGGCCCUGGCAGGAGGCCUGCCAGUUUCUCUUCGCAAGAAUUGCUCAAGUCCACACCACACACACUUCCUUUGUGGGACUCUCAUAUUUCAGGUGCUAUGCAGUCACCCUAACUGCCCAGGGGACAGGUCCCCACUAGGAUCAACUCUGUGCCCCAGGGCCCCCAAAUUUAUGCACGUUGGCCAGUUCACUGAGAGCCUGGUAAAGCCUGGCCAAGCCCGCCCCACUUGCCACACCGAGCUGCAGCUGUGGCUCCAGCCUCCUGGCACCGUGUCCCCAAGUGUGGGUCCUGUGGCAGCCUUCUCUCGUUUAGAGCUGAAAGUAACAAGAGAUCUGCCUUUCAAGGACCUGGGUAUCUUUAUGUUCUGUCCUACCAUCCCGCCAAUUACCAUCCUCCAUAAUAAAUUCUAAUUAUAAAACAAUCACGUUGAUUUGAUUCUUUCAUUGUUUUAAGAUUUAUUGAAGUGUAGUUAAUUUACACAGUUUUGAUGAUUUCUGUUGUACAACAAAGGGACAGAGUCAUACAUAUACACAUACCAUUCUCUCUCAGCUUCUUUUCCCACAGAGAUUAUCACAGAACAGUGGGUGGUGUUCUCUGGGCUACACAGCAAGUCCUCAUUGGCCAAUGGAUCCAUGUACCUCAGUGUGGUCAAGGGAUCCAGUGUUGCCACAGCUGCUUGGAUCUGAUCCCA
This 6395-nucleotide long non-coding RNA is filed under the name Sus scrofa (pig). RNAcentral's name for it is "lncRNA (ENSSSCG00060004880.1)". The record is from RNAcentral. Lineage: Eukaryota; Metazoa; Chordata; Mammalia; Artiodactyla; Suidae.